Molecule: small nuclear RNA, 136 nt
Organism: Malassezia restricta
Lineage: Eukaryota; Fungi; Basidiomycota; Malasseziomycetes; Malasseziales; Malasseziaceae
Source: RefSeq, a predicted model, not a curated record
ACUUUCACAAGCAAGAAAAAUUGCUGAAUCGUAUUCAAACGAAUCAGACGAUGUGGUUCGUUUAGUUUGCGAUAAGCAAAAGUCUACGUCUCGGUAGGUACCUCAGUGACCGUAGAGCCUGUCCAUGCAGAAGGAU